This 1284-nucleotide long non-coding RNA is filed under the name Triticum aestivum (bread wheat). RNAcentral describes it as "long non-coding RNA (TAES_LNC006393)". Lineage: Eukaryota; Viridiplantae; Streptophyta; Magnoliopsida; Poales; Poaceae. The record is from RNAcentral.
GGACAAGCAGUUUUCAGCUGAAGAAAUUUCUUCCAUGGUCCUCAUCAAGAUGCGUGAGAUCGCUGAGGCUUACCUAGGAGUAACUAUUAAGAAUGCCGUUGUCACUGUGCCUGCUUACUUCAAUGAUUCCCAGAGGCAGGCAACCAAGGAUGCUGGUGUUAUUGCUGGUCUUAAUGUGAUGCGUAUCAUCAACGAGCCAACAGCAGCUGCAAUUGCCUAUGGUCUUGACAAGAAGGCUACCAGUGUCGGUGAGAAGAACGUGCUUAUCUUUGACCUCGGUGGUGGCACUUUUGAUGUCUCUCUCCUUACCAUUGAGGAGGGUAUUUUUGAGGUCAAGGCCACAGCUGGUGACACUCACCUUGGUGGGGAGGACUUUGACAACCGUAUGGUGAACCACUUUGUCCAAGAGUUCAAGAGGAAGCACAAGAAGGAUAUCAGUGGAAACCCCAGGUCUUUGAGGAGGCUCAGGACUUCAUGUGAGAGGGCGAAGAGGACCCUUUCUUCCACUGCCCAAACCACCAUCGAGAUUGAUUCACUCUUCGAGGGAGUUGAUUUCUAUUCCACCAUCACCAGGGCCAGGUUUGAGGAGCUCAACAUGGACCUCUUCAGGAAGUGCAUGGAGCCAGUGGAGAAGUGCCUGAGGGAUGCCAAGAUGGACAAGAGCACCAUCCAUGAUGUCGUGCUUGUUGGUGGUUCCACCAGAAUCCCCAGAGUUCAGCAGCUGUUGCAGGACUUCUUCAACGGGAAGGAGCUCUGCAAGAGCAUCAACCCUGAUGAAGCCGUUGCCUACGGUGCUGCCGUCCAGGCUGCAAUCCUCAGUGGUGAGGGGAACGAGAAGGUGCAGGACCUUCUCCUCCUUGAUGUCACCCCACUGUCUCUUGGUCUUGAGACUGCUGGAGGAGUCAUGACUGUGCUCAUCACCCGGAACACCACCAUCCCCACCAAGAAGGAGCAGGUCUUCUCCACCUACUCCGACAACCAGCCUGGUGUGCUCAUCCAGGUUUUUGAGGGUGAGAGGACAAGGACCAGGGACAACAACCUGCUUGGCAAGUUUGAGCUCUCCGGCAUCCCGCCUGCACCCAGGGGUGUUCCCCAGAUCACUGUCUGCUUCGACAUUGAUGCCAACGGUAUCCUGAAUGUCUCUGCCGAGGACAAGACCACUGGCCAGAAGAACAAGAUCACUAUCACCAACGACAAGGGCAGGCUGAGCAAGGACGACAUUGAGAAGAUGGUCCAGGAUGCAGAGAAGUACAAGUCUGAGGAUGAGGAGCACAAGAAGAAGGU